CGACUCUCGGCAACGGAUAUCUCGGCUCUCGCAUCGAUGAAGAACGUAGCGAAAUGCGAUACUUGGUGUGAAUUGCAGAAUCCCGUGAACCAUCGAGUUUUUGAACGCAAGUUGCGCCCAAAGCCAUUAGGCUAAGGGCACAUCUGCCUGGGCGUCAC
This 158-nucleotide ribosomal RNA is filed under the name Ilex x wandoensis. RNAcentral describes it as "5.8S ribosomal RNA". It matches the Rfam family "5.8S ribosomal RNA". From Rfam's summary of the family: 5.8S ribosomal RNA (5.8S rRNA) is a component of the large subunit of the eukaryotic ribosome. It is transcribed by RNA polymerase I as part of the 45S precursor that also contains 18S and 28S rRNA. The record is from RNAcentral. Lineage: Eukaryota; Viridiplantae; Streptophyta; Magnoliopsida; Aquifoliales; Aquifoliaceae.